This 429-nucleotide ribosomal RNA is filed under the name bacterium. Its description in RNAcentral is "partial 16S ribosomal RNA". It matches the Rfam family "Bacterial small subunit ribosomal RNA", at positions 355 to 776 of the family's 1533-position model. The record is from RNAcentral.
UAGGGAAUCUUCGGCAAUGGGGGCAACCCUGACCGAGCAACGCCGCGUGAGUGAAGAAGGUUUUCGGAUCGUAAAGCUCUGUUGUAAGAGAAGAACGUGUGUGAGAGUGGAAAGUUCACACAGUGACGGUAACUUACCAGAAAGGGACGGCUAACUACGUGCCAGCAGCCGCGGUAAUACGUAGGUCCCGAGCGUUGUCCGGAUUUAUUGGGCGUAAAGCGAGCGCAGGCGGUUUAAUAAGUCUGAAGUUAAAGGCAGUGGCUUAACCAUUGUUCGCUUUGGAAACUGUUAAACUUGAGUGCAGAAGGGGAGAGUGGAAUUCCAUGUGUAGCGGUGAAAUGCGUAGAUAUAUGGAGGAACACCGGUGGCGAAAGCGGCUCUCUGGUCUGUAACUAACGCUGAGGCUCGAAAGCGUGGGGAGCAAACAGG